Ornithodoros turicata is the source of this 386-nucleotide long non-coding RNA. RefSeq lists it as uncharacterized. NCBI's taxonomy places the organism in Eukaryota, Metazoa, Arthropoda, Arachnida, Ixodida, Argasidae. The transcript is spliced from 2 exons. The record is from RefSeq and is a predicted model, not a curated record.
AUGCGCGGACGGGUGGAGCAGAGGGCGCGCGCGCAUCCAUAGCUGCCGCUGCGCGUCGCCUCUCUCAGUUUCUCUCGGACCGUCGCGGAAGACGGACGUGCGCUCCGCGCGCUCGCUCAGUUUCUGGCUGCCUCUCGUAGAGAGCAGACGUGUGUGUUCUCCGCGCUCGCUCAGUUUCUGCCUGGAAGUUGCCGCGGGGGAAAAGAGCUAUGAUGGUGGCGCCAUCUGGUGUGAUGCCUUGCAACUAAGUGGCCACCUGUCGUCGAUCUCUGCAACUGCUGGGUGCAAACUACCAACAUGGCGGACGCUGGUCACUCGGGUGUUGCGGAGCGGCUUCUUCGCCGCGGCAUCGUUGAUUUUCGAAUAAAUUGUUUCUCUCCACUCUA